This 86-nucleotide ribosomal RNA is filed under the name uncultured fungus. Its description in RNAcentral is "partial 5.8S ribosomal RNA". It matches the Rfam family "5.8S ribosomal RNA", at positions 72 to 154 of the family's 154-position model. From Rfam's summary of the family: 5.8S ribosomal RNA (5.8S rRNA) is a component of the large subunit of the eukaryotic ribosome. Lineage: Eukaryota; Fungi. The record is from RNAcentral.
AUGCAGAAUUCAGUGAAUCAUCGAAUCUUUGAACGCACCUUGGCGCUCCUUGGUAUUCCGAGGAGCAUGCCUGUUUGAGUGUCAUU